This 429-nucleotide ribosomal RNA is filed under the name uncultured bacterium. RNAcentral describes it as "bacterial SSU rRNA". It matches the Rfam family "Bacterial small subunit ribosomal RNA", at positions 30 to 455 of the family's 1533-position model. The record is from RNAcentral.
AUUGAACGCUGGCGGUAUGCUUAACACAUGCAAGUCGAACGGUAACAGGCAAAGCUUGCUUUGCGCUGACGAGUGGCGGACGGGUGAGUAACGCGUGGGAAUCUGCCUUAUAGUGGGGGAUAGCCCGGAGAAAUCCGGAUUAAUACCGCAUAAGCCCUAAGGGGGAAAGCCGGGGAUCUUCGGACCUGGCGCUAUUAGAUGAGCCCGCGUUAGAUUAGCUAGUUGGUGGGGUAAAGGCCUACCAAGGCGACGAUCUAUAGCUGGUCUGAGAGGACGAUCAGCCACACUGGGACUGAGACACGGCCCAGACUCCUACGGGAGGCAGCAGUGGGGAAUAUUGCACAAUGGGCGCAAGCCUGAUGCAGCAAUACCGCGUGUGUGAAGAAGGCCUGCGGGUUGUAAAGCACUUUCAAUCGUGAAGAAAUGUUC